GAUAAGGUAAGCUAAGUAUAAGCUAUUGGGCCCAUACCCCAACAAUGAAAUUAUUUCUCUUAUUA
Molecule: transfer RNA, 65 nt
Filed under: Myxobdella sinanensis
Lineage: Eukaryota; Metazoa; Annelida; Clitellata; Hirudinida; Hirudinidae
Description: tRNA-Met
Source: RNAcentral